Molecule: ribosomal RNA, 440 nt
Filed under: uncultured bacterium
Lineage: Bacteria
Description: partial 16S ribosomal RNA
Rfam family: Bacterial small subunit ribosomal RNA
Source: RNAcentral
CCUACGGGAGGCAGCAGUGGGGAAUAUUGCACAAUGGGGUUAACCCUGAUCCAGCGACGCCGCGUGAGUGAAGAAGUAUCUCGGUAUUUUAAGCUCUAUCAGCAGGGAAGAAAAUGACGGUACCUGACUAAGAAGCCCCGGCUAACUACGUGCCAGCAUCCGCUGUAAUACGUAGGGGGCCAGCGUUAUCCGGAUUUAAUGGGUGUAAAGGGAGCGUAGGCGGCGCUGCAAGUCCCGAGUGAAAGCCCAUGGCAUAGCCAUGGUACUGCUUUGGAAACUGCGGAGCUUGAGUGCGGGAGGGGCAGGCGGAAUUCCUGGUGUAGCGGUGAAAUGCGUAGAGAUUAGGAGGAACACCGGCGGCGAAGGCGGCCUGCUGGACCGUAACUGACGUUGAGGCUCGAAAGCGUGGGGAGCAAACAGGAUUAGAUACCCGGGUAGUC